UAUAGUUCUUCGGAAUUAGAGACCGGCGCACGGGUGCGUAACGCGUAUGCAAUCUACCUUUCACAGAGGGAUAGCCCAGAGAAAUUUGGAUUAAUACCUCAUAGUAUAUAGAGUUGGCAUCAACAUUAUAUUAAAGUCACAACGGUGAAAGAUGAGCAUGCGUCCCAUUAGCUAGUUGGUAAGGUAACGGCUUACCAAGGCUACGAUGGGUAGGGGUCCUGAGAGGGAGAUCCCCCACACUGGUACUGAGACACGGACCAGACUCCUACGGGAGGCAGCAGUGAGGAAUAUUGGACAAUGGGCGCAAGCCUGAUCCAGCCAUGCCGCGUGCAGGAUGACGGUCCUAUGGAUUGUAAACUGCUUUUGCACAGGAAGAAACAACGCUACGUGUAGCGUCUUGACGGUACUGUGAGAAUAAGGAUCGGCUAACUCCGUGCCAGCAGCCGCGGUAAUACGGAGGAUCCAAGCGUUAUCCGGAAUCAUUGGGUUUAAAGGGUCCGUAGGCGGUUUGGUAAGUCAGUGGUGAAAGCCCAUCGCUCAACGGUGGAACGGCCAUUGAUACUGCCAGACUUGAAUUAUUAGGAAGUAACUAGAAUAUGUAGUGUAGCGGUGAAAUGCUUAGAGAUUACAUGGAAUACCAAUUGCGAAGGCAGGUUACUACUAAUGGAUUGACGCUGAUGGACGAAAGCGUGGGUAGCGAACAGGAUUAGAUACCCUGGUAGUCCACGCCGUAACGAUGGAUACUANCUGUUGGGAGCGAUCUCAGUGGCUAAGCGAAAGUGAUAAGUAUCCCNCCUGGGGGAGUACGUUCGCAAAAUGAAACUCAAGGAAUNGACGGGGGCCCCCNAANCGGGNANCUG
RNAcentral lists this ribosomal RNA (860 nucleotides) under Flavobacterium sp. RNAcentral's name for it is "bacterial SSU rRNA". It matches the Rfam family "Bacterial small subunit ribosomal RNA", at positions 70 to 939 of the family's 1533-position model. The record is from RNAcentral. Lineage: Bacteria; Pseudomonadati; Bacteroidota; Flavobacteriia; Flavobacteriales; Flavobacteriaceae.